GUGAAGAACGCAGCGAAAUGCGAUAAGUAGUGUGAAUUGCAGAAUUCAGUGAAUCAUCGAAUCUUUGAACGCACAUUGCGCCCUUUGGUAUUCCUUAGGGCAUGCCUGUUCGAGCGUCAUUUGAAACCUCAAGCUCAGCUUGGUGUUGGGUGUCUGUCCCCGCCUCCGCGGGGACUCGCCUCAAAAUCAUUGGCGGCCGGUACGUUGGCUUCGAGCGCAGCAGAAACGCGAACUCGAGGCCCGGCGGAUCGGCGACCAGAAGUCUCUUCUUCACAGUUUGACCUCGGAUCAGGUAGGGAUACCCGCUGAACUUAAGCAUAUCAAUAAGCGGAGGA
This 335-nucleotide unclassified non-coding RNA is filed under the name soil metagenome. RNAcentral describes it as "partial contains 5.8S ribosomal RNA, internal transcribed spacer 2, and large subunit ribosomal RNA". The stretch from base 2 to 119 matches the Rfam family "5.8S ribosomal RNA", at positions 37 to 154 of the family's 154-position model. The record is from RNAcentral.